UAGCUCAGCGGUCAGAGCGGCGGACUCAUAAUCCGUUGGUCCGGGGUUCAAAUCCCUG
Molecule: transfer RNA, 58 nt
Filed under: Limisphaerales bacterium
Lineage: Bacteria; Pseudomonadati; Verrucomicrobiota; Verrucomicrobiia; Limisphaerales
Description: Verrucomicrobia subdivision 3 bacterium (sediment metagenome) tRNA-Met
Rfam family: tRNA
About the family: Transfer RNA (tRNA) molecules are approximately 80 nucleotides in length. Their secondary structure includes four short double-helical elements and three loops (D, anti-codon, and T loops).
Source: RNAcentral